GAGAGAGAGAGAGAGAGGUGGUGGGAGGUGGACGUUUGUGGUGGCGGUGGUGGAGGUCGAGAUGGAGUGAAGAGACAGGAAGGAGGCAGAGGAAGUCCCGCAAGUCCUUCACUGUGGAGGAGGACCGAGGAAUCCUUCACUUCAUCUCCUCCAACCAUCGCUCUCGGGAAGUGGAGUGUGUGGGGGUGGACCAGCCUAGAGAAGCCUCACCCCAUGGCUACAAACACCCCACACUGAGGCAGGACUUGUACCACACCACAGCCACUCACAGCCUCACCACAGCCACCUUAUAAUCCCACCACACCCAGCCACAGCUGCACAAACCCACUACAAGGCCAUCAUCACCACCAAAAGCCCUCCUGUCACCACUACAAGGCCAUCAUCACCAAUUCAAGGCCCAUCAUCAUCACUACAAGGCCCCCAUCACCACUAUAAAGCCCAUCCUCACCACUAGAAGCCCUCCCAUCACCACAACACACCCUUCUAUCACCACCAGAACCCCAGAUCACCACCAAAACCCCUAACACCACCAC
Portunus trituberculatus (swimming crab) is the source of this 533-nucleotide long non-coding RNA. RefSeq lists it as uncharacterized. The transcript is spliced from 3 exons. The record is from RefSeq and is a predicted model, not a curated record. Lineage: Eukaryota; Metazoa; Arthropoda; Malacostraca; Decapoda; Portunidae.